Long non-coding RNA from Symphalangus syndactylus (siamang), 397 nucleotides. RefSeq lists it as uncharacterized. The record is from RefSeq and is a predicted model, not a curated record. NCBI's taxonomy places the organism in Eukaryota, Metazoa, Chordata, Mammalia, Primates, Hylobatidae.
GCGUGGAUUUGCCUGUUUAUCCCUGGUGUCAUUUAGCUUGUUCCUCUGCUUUUGGUAUAUCCGGUAAACUGGAAGUAGUUUGGCAGCUGGCUGGGUCCAGGGUCCGCGUUUUUGGCAGUUGAGAAACUUGAGGCACGUGGCCAGACCUUGUAUAUGGAGACACAGAGAGUUGUGUGGAGUGCAAAUCCUACCCCUGAUUGGAGGAAUUCAGACAUCCACCCUGCCUUCAACAGUUGACUUGAUGACUACUGGGCAUGGAGAGCAGGCCAGAAGCCUUGGAAAAUCUCCAGCAAAUGGAUCUGCUCACUCAAGGCUCGUUGGCCACGUGGUCCAGAUCCGGGGAUGAGACCAGGUGAUAAACUCGGCUGGAGCAGCCCUUUGCCCACCGUCCCCCUCC